This 301-nucleotide ribosomal RNA is filed under the name uncultured bacterium. RNAcentral's name for it is "partial 16S ribosomal RNA". It matches the Rfam family "Bacterial small subunit ribosomal RNA", at positions 509 to 807 of the family's 1533-position model. The record is from RNAcentral.
CAGUAGCCGCGGUAAUACGAAGGGGGCUAGCGUUGUUCGGAUUUACUGGGCGUAAAGCGCACGUAGGCGGAUCGAUCAGUCAGGGGUGAAAUCCUGGAGCUCAACUCCAGAACUGCCUUUGAUACUGUCGAUCUCGAGUCCGGAAGAGGUGAGUGGAACUCCUAGUGUAGAGGUGGAAUUCGUAGAUAUUCGCAAGUACACCGGUGGCGAAGGCGGCUCACUGGCCCGGUACUGACGCUGAGGCACGAAAGCGUGGGGAGCAAACAGGAUUAGAUACCCGGGUAGUCCCUGUCUCUUAUAC